RNAcentral lists this small nucleolar RNA (82 nucleotides) under Alternaria alternata. RNAcentral describes it as "A. fimigatus snoRNA Afu_298". It matches the Rfam family "A. fimigatus snoRNA Afu_298". Lineage: Eukaryota; Fungi; Ascomycota; Dothideomycetes; Pleosporales; Pleosporaceae. The record is from Rfam by way of RNAcentral. RNAcentral also lists the same sequence under 2 other names.
GCCAUGAUUAUUUUUGCUUUUUAACCCUGAGUCCUACGAUGAGGACUAAAAACAACAACAACACUCUAAUUUUUUAAUGAGC